CCUACGGGUGGCAGCAGUGGGGAAUAUUGCACAAUGGGCGCAAGCCUGAUGCCGCCAUGCCGCGUGUGUGCAGAAGGGCUUCGGGUUGUAAAGCACUUUCAGCGGGGAGGAAGGCGUUAAGGUUAAUAACCUUGGCGAUUGACGUUACCCGCAGAAGAAGCACCGGCUAACUCCGUGCCAGCAGCCGCGGUAAUACGGAGGGUGCAAGCGUUAAUCGGAAUUACUGGGCGUAAAGCGCACGCAGGCGGUCUGUCAAGUCGGAUGUGAAAUCCCCGGGCUCAACCUGGGAACUGCAUUCGAAACUGGCAGGCUAGAGUCUUGUAGAGGGGGGUAGAAUUCCAGGUGUAGCGGUGAAAUGCGUAGAGAUCUGGAGGAAUACCGGUGGCGAAGGCGGCCCCCUGGACAAAGACUGACGCUCAGGUGCGAAAGCGUGGGGAGCAAACAGGAUUAGAUACCCGGGUAGUC
Molecule: ribosomal RNA, 465 nt
Filed under: uncultured Klebsiella sp.
Lineage: Bacteria; Pseudomonadati; Pseudomonadota; Gammaproteobacteria; Enterobacterales; Enterobacteriaceae
Description: bacterial SSU rRNA
Rfam family: Bacterial small subunit ribosomal RNA
Source: RNAcentral